UACGGGGGGGGCAAGCGUUGUUCGGAAUUACUGGGCGUAAAGGGCGCGUAGGCGGUCUACUAAGUUGGAUGUGAAAACUCUGGGCUUAACCCAGAGCCUGCAUUCAAAACUGAUAGGCUGGAGUUCUGGAGGGGAUAGCGGAAUUCCUGGUGUAGCGGUGAAAUGCGCAGAUAUCAGGAGGAACACCGGUGGCGAAGGCGGUGCACUGGGCCAGUACUGACGCUGAGGAGCGAAAGCGUGGGGAGCGAACAGG
This 253-nucleotide ribosomal RNA is filed under the name uncultured bacterium. RNAcentral describes it as "partial 16S ribosomal RNA". It matches the Rfam family "Bacterial small subunit ribosomal RNA", at positions 524 to 776 of the family's 1533-position model. The record is from RNAcentral.